GUGCCAGUAGCUCAACUGGAUAGAGUGGCGCCCUCCGAAGGCGUAGGUUGCAGGUUCAACUCCUGUCUGGCACA
RNAcentral lists this transfer RNA (74 nucleotides) under candidate division WOR-1 bacterium RIFOXYA2_FULL_41_14. Its description in RNAcentral is "tRNA-Arg". It matches the Rfam family "tRNA". From Rfam's summary of the family: Transfer RNA (tRNA) molecules are approximately 80 nucleotides in length. Their secondary structure includes four short double-helical elements and three loops (D, anti-codon, and T loops). The record is from RNAcentral. Lineage: Bacteria; Bacillati. RNAcentral also lists the same sequence under 3 other names.